GUCAUAAUACGUAGCUUUUUUAUUAUAUCCGCAAAACAAAUUGUAGAGUCAUAUUGCACGGAAAGCGUUGAACUUCAGCAUAGUGUUGUACCUGCCUUUCACUUUUCUAGUUGUCUUUUAGCGUCAAGGUAUUUCACAGUAGAUAAACAAAACAAUGAUUUGGAAAAUUAUAUUUUUGUUACCGUGUUUCAACGUUUUAGUAAACGCUGGUUGCAUGCAUUCAGGUGGGACAAGUGAUACAAUAAGGCGCCCGGAUCCGUUACACAGCCCAGAAUGGUUUAAUUCACUAGAAUUAAUCACCGAUGGGAUGAUAAAUUGGAGAUUAUUGGAAACUACACCUACCGAUGCUCAAAAAGAACCUAUAAGGCGCUACUUGCGAGAAAAUGGAUGGUCGACUAAUCUUACGGAAAGUCUUCUUUCGACGAGUUAUUAUCGGACAUGGCCUAAUCAAUUAAGAUCAGGUCAGGAACCUUAUUUUAACCGAAGCAAUAUGGAUAAAUUGACAUUAAGACGUUUACCAGGACUACCAGCAGUAAUCGCAGCCCCUUCUGAAAAUAGAAAUAUGCCUGUAACAGGAAUUCUAUUAAUUUUCAGAAGUCUAAAUUAAUAUAAAUUGUAUUUGAAUGAAUGAAUAAUUACAUGUUUAUAUCAAUGA
Molecule: long non-coding RNA, 655 nt
Organism: Adelges cooleyi (spruce gall adelgid)
Lineage: Eukaryota; Metazoa; Arthropoda; Insecta; Hemiptera; Adelgidae
Exons: 3
Source: RefSeq, a predicted model, not a curated record